RNAcentral lists this long non-coding RNA (273 nucleotides) under Lathyrus oleraceus (garden pea). RNAcentral's name for it is "Pisum sativum (pea) long non-coding RNA (PSAT_LNC028671)". The record is from RNAcentral. Lineage: Eukaryota; Viridiplantae; Streptophyta; Magnoliopsida; Fabales; Fabaceae.
UUCAAUGAGGGGUUAGUGAAACAAGAAAUCACAUAUGAUAUAACAAACUCACUAACAAUAUUUAUAAACAAAAACAUCAAUUAAUUAACAUAUAUUGGUAGAAGUUGAUAACUAGCCGUUUUUGGAAAAUUAAGACAAACUUGUAAAAUGAAAGGAGGAUGAAACUAAGGAGAAAUCUACCAACUUAUGUGAUAAAUUUGAAUGGAUUUCAUUGUAGGUCUAUCAUAUAAGUUUGCAUUUUUCACUUUAGUUUCAUCCUCUUUUGUAUUUUUU